Molecule: ribosomal RNA, 1374 nt
Filed under: uncultured bacterium
Lineage: Bacteria
Description: bacterial SSU rRNA
Rfam family: Bacterial small subunit ribosomal RNA
Source: RNAcentral
AGAGUUUGAUCCUGGCUCAGGAUGAACGCUGGCGGCGUGCUUAACACAUGCAAGUCGAACGGAGUUAAGUGCUUCGGUAUUUAACUUAGUGGCGAACGGGUGAGUAACGCGUGAGAAACCUGCCUUUCAGUGGGGGACAACAGUUGGAAACGACUGCUAAUACCGCAUGAUACUUUUUGGGGGCAUCCCUGAAAAGUCAAAGCUUUAUGUGCUGAAAGAUGGUCUCGCGUCUGAUUAGCUAGUUGGUGAGGUAAUGGCUCACCAAGGCGACGAUCAGUAGCCGGUCUGAGAGGAUGAACGGCCACAUUGGGACUGAGAUACGGCCCAGACUCCUACGGGAGGCAGCAGUGGGGAAUAUUGGGCAAUGGGGGAAACCCUGACCCAGCAACGCCGCGUGAAGGAAGAAGGCUUUCGGGUUGUAAACUUCUUUUAGCAGGGACGAAGGACGUGACGGUACCUGCAGAAAAAGCAACGGCUAACUACGUGCCAGCAGCCGCGGUAAUACGUAGGUUGCAAGCGUUGUCCGGAUUUACUGGGUGUAAAGGGCGUGUAGGCGGAGAUGCAAGUUGGGAGUGAAAUCCCGGGGCUCAACCCCGGAACUGCUUUCAAAACUGUAUCCCUUGAGUGUCGGAGAGGCAAGCGGAAUUCCUAGUGUAGCGGUGAAAUGCGUAGAUAUUAGGAGGAACACCAGUGGCGAAGGCGGCUUGCUGGACGAUAACUGACGCUGAGGCGCGAAAGCGUGGGGAGCAAACAGGGAUUAGAUACCCUGGUAGUCCACGCUGUAAACGAUGAAUACUAGGUGUGGGAGGGCUGACCCCUUCCGUGCCGCAGUUACUACAAUAAGUAUUCCACCUGGGGAGUACGACCGCAAGGUUGAAACUCAAAGGAAUUGACGGGGGCCCGCACAAGCAGUGGAUUAUGUGGUUUAAUUCGACGCAACGCGAAGAACCUUACCAGGAUUUGACAUCCUACUAAGGUCGCAGAGAUGCGACUGUGCCCUUCGGGGAAAGUAGAGACAGGUGGUGCAUGGUUGUCGUCAGCUCGUGUCGUGAGAUGUUGGGUUAAGUCCCGCAACGAGCGCAACCCCUAUUGUUAGUUGCUACGCAAGAGCACUCUAGCGAGACUGCCGUUGACAAAACGGAGGAAGGCGGGGACGACGUCAAAUCAUCAUGCCCCUUAUGUCCUGGGCUACACACGUAAUACAAUGGUGGUAAACAGAGGGAAGCAAGACUGCGAAGUGGAGCAAAUCCCUAAAAGCCAUCUCAGUUCGGACUGCAGGCUGCAACUCGCCUGCAUGAAGCUGGAAUUGCUAGUAAUCGCGGAUCAGCAUGCCGCGGUGAAUACGUUCCCGGGCCUUGUACACAAAGCCCGUCA